CGUAGGGUGCGAGCGUUGUCCGGAAUUAUUGGGCGUAAAGAGCUCGUAGGCGGUGUGUCACGUCGAUCGUGAAAACUUUCAGCUUAACUGGGAGCUUGCGGUCGAUACGGGCAUCACUGGAGUUCGGCAGGGGAGACUGGAAUUCAAGGUGUAGCGGUGAAAUGCGCAGAUAUCUUGAGGAACACCGGUGGCGAAGGCGGGUCUCUGGGCCGAUACUGACGCUGAGGAGCGAAAGCGUGGGGAGCGAACAGGAUUAGAUACCCUGGUAGUCCACGCCGUAAACGGUGGGCACUAGGAGUGGGGGCCAUUCCACGGUCUCUGUGCCGCAGCUAACGCAUUAAGUGCCCCGCCUGGGGAGUACGGCCGCAAGGCUA
RNAcentral lists this ribosomal RNA (374 nucleotides) under uncultured organism. RNAcentral describes it as "bacterial SSU rRNA". It matches the Rfam family "Bacterial small subunit ribosomal RNA", at positions 526 to 896 of the family's 1533-position model. The record is from RNAcentral.